Molecule: ribosomal RNA, 497 nt
Filed under: uncultured bacterium
Lineage: Bacteria
Description: partial 16S ribosomal RNA
Rfam family: Bacterial small subunit ribosomal RNA
Source: RNAcentral
GAUGAACGCUGGCGGCGUGCCUAAUACAUGCAAGUCGAGCGAACAGACGAGGAGCUUGCUCCUCUGACGUUAGCGGCGGACGGGUGAGUAACACGUGGAUAACCUACCUAUAAGAUUGGGAUAACUUCGGGAAACCGGAGCUAAUACCGGAUAAUAUAUUGAACCGCAUGGUUCAAUAGUGAAAGACGGUUUUGCUGUCACUUAUAGAUGGAUCCGCGCCGCAUUAGCUAGUUGGUAAGGUAACGGCUUACCAAGGCGACGAUGCGUAGCCGACCUGAGAGGGUGAUCGGCCACACUGGAACUGAGACACGGUCCAGACUCCUACGGGAGGCAGCAGUAGGGAAUCUUCCGCAAUGGGCGAAAGCCUGACGGAGCAACGCCGCGUGAGUGAUGAAGGUCUUCGGAUCGUAAAACUCUGUUAUUAGGGAAGAACAAAUGUGUAAGUAACUAUGCGCGUCUUGACGGUACCUAAUCAGAAAGCCACGGCUAACUACGUG